This 133-nucleotide small RNA is filed under the name Lelliottia amnigena. RNAcentral describes it as "RtT sRNA". It matches the Rfam family "RtT RNA". Rfam says of the family: This family represents a bacterial cis-regulatory element known as RtT RNA. Lineage: Bacteria; Pseudomonadati; Pseudomonadota; Gammaproteobacteria; Enterobacterales; Enterobacteriaceae. RNAcentral also lists the same sequence under 1 other name. The record is from RNAcentral.
GCAUCCACAAUGUAUGUGAGGAUGAGAAACUCCGGGGCAGGAGGUUCGACUCGAGCGAAGCGAGAGAACGUUGCUUUAGCAACGGCCCGCAGGGCGAGCCACGAAGUGGCGAGUCAUCCUCUCUCGCCGACCA